Chelonia mydas (Green sea turtle) is the source of this 662-nucleotide long non-coding RNA. RefSeq lists it as uncharacterized. The record is from RefSeq and is a predicted model, not a curated record. The transcript has 4 exons. Lineage: Eukaryota; Metazoa; Chordata; Testudines; Cheloniidae.
AAACCUCUGGUUUUUGGAUCAGGAGAAUCUGACUUCUAUCCUUGUUGUUUCCAUGAAGGUCUGUGGGAGCAUCUGGUUUUUAGUUCUGCUUCUUUGGAGAAAUCUUGGUGUAUAUAGAUUAUUAUGGAAAAGCAGUGGUGCAGAUAAGAGUCAGAAGAUGGCCACGUUAUGGGCAUUCUUAACUCUUGUGGAAGGAACAUUCUACAGGAAGUUUGGCCACAGGCUGAAAAGAUGCUUUCUCCAGCUGCCAGUAGUCUGUCUCUUGCUUUUGAGAGCGCCAUUUUUCUGAAGGAUCAUUGCUGUUGUGGACUGUCUCGGCUGCAGAGGGGAGAGAUUCCUGGAGCCUGUUCAUGAACUUGACGUCAGGAAAGCGACUUGCGUGGAACCUUGCGGUGGGAUUAAUGCUGCGCAGGAUGGAUGAUACACUCCCAACAUUCCAAGAGCAGAGCUGGAUGAAAUUUUUUGUGCAAAACGUUUUUGAUGAAAAAAGCAGGUUCGGCAACACCUAAAUGUUUUGCAAAUUUCGAGUCAAUUUUUGCCAGUUUUUUUCUGUUGUGGAGGAAAGAAAUGCCAAAAAAAAGUCAAAAUGUUUUGUUUUGACAUUUUCUAGACUAAACAUUUUGACUUUCUUGGUUUGAAAUGACUUUAGUUUCAAAGUUUCU